UAAGCAUGCACGCUGCUAUUUUCCGUUUCUUUUUUUACUUUAGCGCCUGAUUUCAGGGGGCUUCGGCGUAAGAAGAGAAACGAAAAGUAGCGCCUGAGCCUCCCCUGUGGAGGCUUUUUUGUU
Molecule: non-coding RNA, 123 nt
Filed under: Enterobacterales bacterium 8AC
Lineage: Bacteria; Pseudomonadati; Pseudomonadota; Gammaproteobacteria; Enterobacterales
Description: Phe_leader
Rfam family: Phenylalanine leader peptide
Source: RNAcentral